GUCGAGCGGAGAUGAGGUGCUUGCACCUUAUCUUAGCGGCGGACGGGUGAGUAAUGCUUAGGAAUCUGCCUAUUAGUGGGGGACAACAUUCCGAAAGGGAUGCUAAUACCGCAUACGUCCUACGGGAGAAAGCAGGGGAUCUUCGGACCUUGCGCUAAUAGAUGAGCCUAAGUCGGAUUAGCUAGUUGGUGGGGUAAAGGCCUACCAAGGCGACGAUCUGUAGCGGGUCUGAGAGGAUGAUCCGCCACACUGGGACUGAGACACGGCCCAGACUCCUACGGGAGGCAGCAGUGGGGAAUAUUGGACAAUGGGGGGAACCCUGAUCCAGCCAUGCCGCGUGUGUGAAGAAGGCCUUAUGGUUGUAAAGCACUUUAAGCGAGGAGGAGGCUACUGAGACUAAUACUCUUGGAUAGUGGACGUUACUCGCAGAAUAAGCACCGGCUAACUCUGUGCCAGCAGCCGCGGUAAU
RNAcentral lists this ribosomal RNA (469 nucleotides) under uncultured bacterium. Its description in RNAcentral is "bacterial SSU rRNA". It matches the Rfam family "Bacterial small subunit ribosomal RNA", at positions 61 to 524 of the family's 1533-position model. The record is from RNAcentral.